This 2133-nucleotide ribosomal RNA is filed under the name Triticum aestivum (bread wheat). RNAcentral describes it as "partial small subunit ribosomal RNA". Lineage: Eukaryota; Viridiplantae; Streptophyta; Magnoliopsida; Poales; Poaceae. The record is from RNAcentral.
CUCGUUCCCCACCGCUGAAAUCUUAUCCUCUCGACCUCUCGCCCCAUUUCUUCCUCUUCUUCCCCCUCCCUCUCACUUUCCUCAUCUCCAUUCGCCAGGCAACUGUGUCGACGGGAGACGUUGGAGACGAUGCACGGCAGGGUGUCUUGCUGCGAGAAGCUUCUGUCGUCCGGGCGCGCUUCGAUGCUGCCGGAGGAGGCGCUGUCGUCCUCGCCUGCGCGCGCAAGCUGCGGGUUUUUUGCAAGGCAGGGGCUCGCUGCUGCUAGCCCGCACGAGCUGGCUCCAAGGGCCGGGCGCUACAACUUGAGGAGCUCCAAGCCGACUACCUGUUGUGGCUCUCCGGAGUUACUCAUGCGACGCGGUGAGUGCUGUUUUGGUGGCCGGAGACGCUGUGCGUGUGGGGAUGGAAGUGAUCUUGUGGUUCUGUCAUCAGCAAAUCUAGUAGCCCAAAUCAUACUGUGUAUUGACACAUUUUCUAUUUCGCAAGGGGCCGCCCGUCCUCCUGCUGAUUGGAUUGUGCUUCUUCGUUCUGUUCCCUUCUUCCUCUGGUUGUUGAUGCCUCAAGCAGCCGCUGCCGAUUGUGUGCUUGUAGUUGUUUCUUCAGUUCCCUUCCUCUGCUUGUAGAUGCCUCAAGCAGCUGGUGUAUAUAAAUUGAUCCUAUUGAUUGCAAGGGAGCGAGGGAAGGAAAUCGCCAUGGAACAACCCCGCCGCCUUGGAGCUCGCCCCGCCUCCGGCCCACUGCCUCUCCGUCGGCCUCGUGCUCCUCCGCCUCGAUCCAUCCGCCCCGCCGCUGGAUCCACGCGGAGCAGGCCUAUCCGCCGCCCAGACCACCAACCAAGAGUCGCCUCUUGCUUGUCCUGCGGUCGGGAGGAGGACGACCGAGAGGAGCACACAUUCAUCCGCCGCCUUGGAGCUCGCCCUGCCUUCGGGCUGCCACCUCCCCGUUGGCCUCGAUCCGUCCGCCCCACCGCCCAGACCACCAACCAAGCGCCGCCUCUUCCCUGUCCUGUGGUCGCAGGUCGAAUAAUAAAAACUGCAGGGUCCUUUAUGUAAAAAUGAAUCAUUUUUUGGAUUAGCCACUUAAAAAUAGGACCGCGGGUCGAAUUAUCAGAAACAGAUGGGCUUUUUUGUAAAUCGCCAGCGACGACGUACGACCAGAAACCCACGGUGCUUUAUUAUUAGGUAGAGAUAUACUUUGCCGGACGGCUAGACCGAUAGAUAGUAUCCUUGCUCCAGAAUCCAGACAAUCAAUCGAGGCAGUGCACCUGAACCAUUAGCUAGCACCGUCGGCAAAUUAAGCUCGUCGACAAAUGGGGGUCAAGCUCACGCUCCCGCCGGCGGCACUGAUCUCCCAGGUGGCCAAGCUGGGCUCCCUCCUCGCUCUCCUCCUCCUCGCGCUGCUGCUGCCCGUCUUCCUCAGGGUCGCCUACGGCUACCUCCUCUUCAACGGCAUCGUCGUCGCGCUCGGCAUCCAGGCCUUCGUCGGCAGCGGCGGCGCUUCUACCGCCGACGACGAAGACCGGCACGGGUCUUCGAGUACCGGUCAGGCCGUCGCGCCUGUCAGCGUCGCGGCUUCACCGUUUCAGAGACCCGACGACCGGACGGCGGUUGCGCAUGAUGAUCGUGUCGUGCUGCCUGCCUUUGUAGCGAGCAAUAUAAUCGAGCUCAAGACCAAGACCAAGGAGGUGGUUCUGAAGGUGCUGAAGAAGUGCCCGUCGACGGCGAGCAUCUUCUUCCUCAGCGCGCUGAACGGCGGCCAGCAAGCCGGCGGAGAGGAAAAGGCACGGCAAGAGGAGGAGGAAGAUUGUGAAGUUGACAUGGACGGGGACGUGAAGAUGAGUCGGGAGGAGCUGUUUGCCAACACGGAGAGGUUCAUCGGCAACUUCCGCAAGGAGCUCAGCAUGCAGAGACAGUAGCACUACUCCAAGCUAGCUAGCAUAGAUAUUGUUUCUUAGCUUUCCUUAUUAUUUUUCUUUAGUUCUUGCGCCAUGAUAUAUAGGAGUAUGUUUAGUGGGACACGUCCUUACUCCACGCGUCUGUAACCCUGCUCAUAGGCUUAGGAUUUUCGGUGUGUUCAGUUUUUCAAAUUGACAUGAUCUUAUCAUUCGACACGAGUGAUGAGCUAUCUGAAAA